AUUGAACGCUGGCGGCAUGCUUUACACAUGCAAGUCGAACGGCAGCACGGGCUUCGGCCUGGUGGCGAGUGGCGAACGGGUGAGUAAUGCAUCGGAACGUGCCCAUGUUGUGGGGGAUAACUACGCGAAAGCGUGGCUAAUACCGCAUACGCCCUGAGGGGGAAAGCGGGGGAUUCUUCGGAACCUCGCGCAAUUGGAGCGGCCGAUGUCAGAUUAGCUUGUUGGUGAGGUAAAGGCUCACCAAGGCGACGAUCUGUAGCGGGUCUGAGAGGAUGAUCCGCCACACUGGAACUGAGACACGGUCCAGACUCCUACGGGAGGCAGCAGUGGGGAAUUUUGGACAAUGGGGGCAACCCUGAUCCAGCCAUGCCGCGUGAGUGAAGAAGGCCUUCGGGUUGUAAAGUACUCUUCGGUCCGGGAACGGAAAUACGUAUGGGUUAAUACCCUACGUGCGGAUGACGGUACCGGCGACUAAGAAGACACCGGCUAACUACGUAGCC
This 500-nucleotide ribosomal RNA is filed under the name uncultured bacterium. Its description in RNAcentral is "bacterial SSU rRNA". It matches the Rfam family "Bacterial small subunit ribosomal RNA", at positions 30 to 510 of the family's 1533-position model. The record is from RNAcentral.